Molecule: ribosomal RNA, 659 nt
Filed under: uncultured bacterium
Lineage: Bacteria
Description: bacterial SSU rRNA
Rfam family: Bacterial small subunit ribosomal RNA
Source: RNAcentral
AGUGGCGGACGGGUGAGUAACGCGUGAGAAUCUGCCUUGGGGUCGGGGACAACCACUGGAAACGGUGGCUAAUACCGGAUAAGCCGAUUGGUGAAAGAUUUAUUGCCCGAAGAGGAGCUCGCGUCUGAUUAGCUAGUUGGUGAGGUAAGAGCUCACCAAGGCAGCGAUCAGUAGCUGGUCUGAGAGGACGAUCAGCCACACUGGGACUGAGACACGGCCCAGACUCCUACGGGAGGCAGCAGUGGGGAAUUUUCCGCAAUGGGCGAAAGCCUGACGGAGCAAGACCGCGUGAGGGAGGAAGGCUCUUGGGUUGUAAACCUCUUUUCUCAGGGAAGAAGAUCUGACGGUACCUGAGGAAUCAGCCUCGGCUAACUCCGUGCCAGCAGCCGCGGUAAUACGGAGGAGGCAAGCGUUAUCCGGAAUUAUUGGGCGUAAAGCGUCCGCAGGUGGCGAUUCAAGUCUGCUGUCAAAGCACGGGGCUUAACUCCGUAAAGGCAGUGGAAACUGAAUAGCUAGAGUGCCGUAGGGGUAGAGGAAUUCCCGGUGUAGCGGUGAAAUGCGUAGAGAUCGGGAAGAACAUCGGUGGCGAAAGCGCUCUACUGGACGGCAACUGACACUCAGGGACGAAAGCUAGGGGAGCGAAUGGGAUUAGAUACCCC